This 754-nucleotide long non-coding RNA is filed under the name Brachypodium distachyon (stiff brome). RNAcentral's name for it is "long non-coding RNA (BDIS_LNC004588)". Lineage: Eukaryota; Viridiplantae; Streptophyta; Magnoliopsida; Poales; Poaceae. The record is from RNAcentral.
UCAUCUUUUAGGUAAAGUACCGUGGUCCCGCAAUUUCCAAAAAAAGCAUUCCCAUCAUGCAGAUGUUUUUUGCCACGGUAAGCUGGUUCAGCACGCAAACCUUCUCUUGGGCACGUGGGCGCGCUCCUUCUCAGCAUGCAGAUGGUUUUUUUCCUACGGUGAGCUGGUUACACGCAACUUAUUUUUUUUUUCUUCAAGGAACCCAUCUUUUUCCUUCUACUUAUCUCCAUUACAAGCAUCAAUCUCAUCAUAGAGAAGCAAUUACACAGAAGUUACCGUUAUUAAAGAGCUGAUAUCCAAAAGUUACUUUGUCUAGGUACAGAAAAGUCAAAACCUCACAAGAGUUACAACCAAGUGUAGCUAGCAUGUAUAUUUACAUGAACUAUUUUAGAUCCAACAAGAGUAGUAGCUCGUAUCCAAACAAAACAACCGUUCAGAUUUUCAAAAAAAUCAUGAAACUAACUCUAAAGAUAAAGAACUGCUCGUGGGGCCGCGGAACGAGCAGCCACGGAUCAUGGCGUUGUAGAGGGCGACGUCGUCUCGGGGGAAGGAGGAGAAGAGCAGGUAGGCGCACGCCAUGUCGCCGGCCUCGGCGGUGCGGCGGACGAGGAGCGUGGGCAGGCCCGACGGGAGGCGGUGGAGGGAGGAGGAGGUGAGGUGGAGGCCAUGGAUAUGGUCGAACCGCCGGCUGGUGCCACUCUUCUUGAGGAGCGCCGGGAGGCGGGAUUCCGGGAGUCCCAUGGCUGAUGAGAAC